RNAcentral lists this transfer RNA (36 nucleotides) under Myleus tiete. Its description in RNAcentral is "partial tRNA-Phe". Lineage: Eukaryota; Metazoa; Chordata; Actinopteri; Characiformes; Serrasalmidae. The record is from RNAcentral. RNAcentral also lists the same sequence under 1 other name.
GCUAGUGUAGCUUAACCCUAAAGCAUAACACUGAAG